Long non-coding RNA from Pogoniulus pusillus (Red-fronted tinkerbird), 3127 nucleotides. RefSeq lists it as uncharacterized. NCBI's taxonomy places the organism in Eukaryota, Metazoa, Chordata, Aves, Piciformes, Lybiidae. The record is from RefSeq and is a predicted model, not a curated record. The transcript has 3 exons.
UGUUGUUAGGCUCUCCGGGGCAGCACCUGUGCUAGAUGGUCAUUAACCUGCAGCUGGACCUCGGCUAGCUGCCAUUUGCAGGAGGUUCCUGAAGGGAGAGCCGAGUCCUUUGUUUCCUCAUCACUCAGAGGGAGCGUUUUGGAACAGCGUGACCAAAUCCGGGCUGCCUUCUGCUCGGGUGAGUUCCAGUGGACGUGGUGCCAGCUGCAGUCCAUGAGUGACAGGAGGGGAAACCUCAGACACUGAUUUUACAUCCGAAGGACUGAACCUGCUCUAACAGCCCAUGGGAUGCUUCCUCCAGGGAGAUAGGUUAAGACUUGUUCAGAAGGGACUUGGUUCUUUCCUGGUUUGCCUUUGGAGCUACAGGACACUCACCUGCGAAAAGGAGGGAAUCCACAUAGCAGUAUGUAUGUGAUCACUCCUGCAGCCCAAAUAUCCACCUUCAAGCCAUAGCUGAGAAAACAAGACUGUGUUACUGUGCUGGCUUCAAACAAAACCAGUCAUUCCAGUCCAACAGCUGCUCCCACUUACUGAUGAACUUAUACUGAGAAUCUAAGGUCCUUGCUGAUGGUGAGGAGAUUUAGUUUGUACCUAAGUGUCAUUUUACUUAGCAUUCUUCAGCCUUUAGGAAACCACAGUAACAUCCUUUGUCAUCCUUUUUUUUUUCUUCUGUAAGCCUCAAGGCUCUGCAGGGUCUUCUGGAUAUACUCAGAUUCAAUUCAGUGUCAAGGUUUCCCAAUCCAGCAUCACUAAUGAUAGACAAGGAUGUGCUUUCUCAGUUCCCGUGCUGGAGUAACGAUCUCUAAGGUUAUCCUGCGUUGCUAAGCAACAAGGAAGAUACCAGUUCUCCAGUCUGUUGACUGAAUAUCACAGGGAAAAAGAAAUGCACUUUUCUUUUAAAGCACAGAAAUUCAAACACUAGAGGUCAAGAAGAGGCCUUUUUUCCUGUUAUACAUUCAGUUUGCCAAGAUGUAGAAGACGCCCUUUGAUGUUUGAGCUCACUGCAGCUGUGAAAUAGUCCUCCAUAUGGCAGAGGCACUGAGCAACGCUCAAAACAAUGCCACAAACCUCCCUCCAUCACAAAAACCAAAUUUAGCAUGGCCAGAGCUACAGAAUGGAGGUCUACCCAGCCUAAAAUGGAAGACUACUUGUGACAUUCUGCCAUCUUACAAACUGAUUUAUACAACUGCCUGUUAAAUACAGCAAAAAUUUCAGACUGAUUAAACCAACAGGUAUCAAAUCACAUGUGUCACCCAGACAAGGUCAGCUGAACCAGCAUGGUCUCAUCAGUGUGCUCUGAGAGCAGGUCUAGGCUAAGUGACUGCUGGAAUCUCUUCCAAGAUACAUGACUCCGUUCCUAACAUGAACACUCUUUCACUUGCCAUUUUUCCCCCUAGCAGCUGCCACAGUGGUACAAAUGGCCCUGAAUGGCGAGGUGAGACAGGGAACACAAAACAGUAACCUCCAGCACAUCAGCAGUGGUCCUAGGUAAGGAGGCAAAGGUGCAUUUUGGUGCUGCCUGUCUCCUAUAGAUGGCUUAGUUACCAGCAGAUAGAGGACCACCUUACUAGAGCAUUCUGGUUCUUCCGAUGGUUAGGAGCUAACUCCCACCCCUGAAGAUGUGCAGGAUGAGGCUCGACAGGACUCUGGGCAGUCUGAUCUAGUUGAGGAUGUCCCUGGUGACUGCAGAGAGGGCUGGACUAGAUGUCCUCUGGAGGUGCCUUCCAGCCCAGCCCAUGCUAUGAUUCUACAAAGAGUAACUGGUGACAGGACAUGUGUCUUAGUCAUCCUCACCCUGUCUCAGCGAUGAUUUCUGGAGCCACAUAUGUGGGGGUUCCACAGACAGUAUAAAGUGGUCCUUCAACCACAGUCGCCAGUCCGAAGUCUCCUAGCUUCAAAGACUUGGUUCCAUCUGAGUAUUCACAUACCUAAAAUCAGCACAAUAAGAACAAAACGAGGAGGAAUAUAUCUGGAUUUUUAAGACUGUUAGGAAAACAGUAAAGCAUCACACAGGGAGGAUGGGAGAAAGAACUUCUGCAGCCCUGCAGGGAGAGGAGAGUGCAGUGGUGUGACCACUGACUGCCACAGUGCUGCUGCAGCUGCUGUUCAAUGGAGCUGUCUGCCAGCUAUGUAGGUCAGACCAUGAUAGAGCCUCAAAGACCUGGGUGGGGGAGGGGGACCCAACUGUAGAAUGCUGAGUUUUAAAUCUAUCAGGAAAAAAAUAUAUGCUCUACUUCCACUUGAUCGGGGUCGAGUCUCAAAUGGAGUUGGCAGUUAGAAUCAGAUUUGUUUAACAGCUGGCACUAACUCGGCACAAAUGUGGCCACUUAGCAUAUUGGGUGCUGCAUAGGCAAAUGUCUUCCCUAAGCUUAGUCUAGGCAAAUUCAGUACAGCAGUGAGAAAGCUGACUGCAAAGUGAUUCGAUUUCUGUGCAACCCAAGGGUGUCUUACCAAAAGCACCAUAAAGAAUCUCAAGCAUCUUGUUCCCAGUCCUUUUGGUGAGGAAAGAAGGUAAAUUUUCCAUAGAUAGCAAAAGUAAUUCGAGCCAGACCAGCAGCAAAGGAAACUUCCCCAAUAGACACCUCUCAGUUUUAUUCCUAGAGUAGAAUGUUUUUGUUACUGUGUUUUCAACAGGACCUGGUGUCUAAAAUGUAGGACUCCAAAAUCUCCAGAAUGAGUAAAUUUAUUUGGUUUCCUUGAACAAGGGAGUACUGCUAAGGCACUUCCUUCGUUGCCCUGUGUAAUUCCCACUGCCAAAGGAAGCGUUUUUUCUCCCUGAUGUCACAGCUCCAUCCCUGCAGCUGCUUUUAGAGCCGUGUCUUCACAGGCAUGACUGGGAAGGAGCACUAACUCGGGCGGCUGGCGGCCCCAUGCAGAACCAGCUACUUUGCUGUCCCGGGGAGGGCUGAUGGGAAUAAUCUGUGCUUGCAUUCAGUACCAGUGUGCUGCCUUAACAUACUGCCACUGCCAAUCACAGUCAGUAAGAUUUGCAUCAGCUGAGUAAUCUCUUUAGGCUUUCUAGGCAGAAAGGACGUUUGUGCCUAUUUAUAACUGAAUCAAUCACUAAUGAGAGCUUAAAAUGUCUUUGGACUGCCUGUGUUUAAAAAUGCACCGAGAAUGAGUGAAA